Molecule: transfer RNA, 72 nt
Filed under: Ovis aries (sheep)
Lineage: Eukaryota; Metazoa; Chordata; Mammalia; Artiodactyla; Bovidae
Rfam family: tRNA
About the family: Transfer RNA (tRNA) molecules are approximately 80 nucleotides in length.
Source: Rfam by way of RNAcentral
UCCUUGGUGUCUCAGUCAGUAAAGAAUCCGCCUGCAAUGCAGGAGACCCAGGUUCAAUCCCUGGGGAAGGAA